RNAcentral lists this ribosomal RNA (193 nucleotides) under uncultured Lachnospiraceae bacterium. RNAcentral describes it as "partial 16S ribosomal RNA". The record is from RNAcentral. Lineage: Bacteria; Bacillati; Bacillota; Clostridia; Lachnospirales; Lachnospiraceae.
GGAGUCUGGGCCGUGUCUCAGUCCCAAUGUGGCCGUCCACCCUCUCAGGCCGGCUACCGAUCGUCGCCUUGGUGGGCCAUCGCCCCGCCAACCAGCUAAUCGGACGCGGGCCCAUCGGAGAGCGGAUGUUUCCAUCCUUUGGCGCGGAGAACAUGCGUCCUCCGCGCAACAUCCGGUAUUAGCACCCCUUUCC